UGGGGAAUUUUGCGCAAUGGGCGAAAGCCUGACGCAGCAACGCCGCGUGUGUGAUGAAGGUCUUCGGAUUGUAAAAGCACUUUCGACCGGGACGAAAACCCCUUGGCUAACAUCCAGGGGCUUGACGGUACCGGGAGAAGAAGCACCGGCUAACUCUGUGCCAGCAGCCGCGGUAAUACAGAGGGUGCAAGCGUUGUUCGGAAUUAUUGGGCGUAAAGCGCGUGUAGGCGGCUUUGCAAGUCGGGUGUGAAAGCCCUCAGCUCAACUGAGGAAGUGCGCCCGAAACUGCAGAGCUUGAGUGCCGGAGAGGGUGGCGGAAUUCCCCAAGUAGAGGUGAAUUCGUAGAUAUGGGAGGACACCGGUGGCGAAGGCGGCCACCUGGACGGCAACUGACGCUGAGACGCGAAAGCGUGGGGAGCAAACAGGAUUAGGAUACCCUGGUAGUCCACGCCGUAAACGAUGAGAACUAGGUGUCGUGGGAGUUGACCCCGCGGUGCCGUAGCUAACG
This 508-nucleotide ribosomal RNA is filed under the name uncultured Pseudomonadota bacterium. RNAcentral describes it as "bacterial SSU rRNA". It matches the Rfam family "Bacterial small subunit ribosomal RNA", at positions 355 to 857 of the family's 1533-position model. Lineage: Bacteria; Pseudomonadati; Pseudomonadota. The record is from RNAcentral.